CCUACGGGAGGCAGCAGUGGGGAAUCUUGCACAAUGGAGGAAACUCUGAUGCAGCGAUGCCGCGUGAGUGAAGAAGGCCUUUGGGUUGUAAAGCUCUUUUGUAGGGGAAGAUAAUGACUGUACCCUAAGAAUAAGGUCCGGCUAACUUCGUGCCAGCAGCCGCGGUAAUACGAAGGGACCUAGCGUAGUUCGGAAUUACUGGGCGUAAAGCGCGCGUAGGCCGUUGAGUUAGUUAAUUGUGAAAUCCCAAAGCUUAACUUUGGAACUGCAAUUAAAACUGCUCGACUAGAGUUUGAUAGAGGAAAGCGGAAUACAUAGUGUAGAGGUGAAAUUCGUAGAUAUUAUGUAGAACACCAGUUGCGAAGGCGGCUUUCUGGAUCAACACUGACGCUGAGGCGCGAAAGUAUGGGUAGCAAAGAGGAUUAGAUACCCUCGUAGUCCAUACCAUAAACGGAUGAUUGCUAGAUGUUAGGUAAGUUUAUUUUACUAGUAUCGCACGACUAACGUACUAUAAGUACAACUACCGUCCGUCGGGUAGGUACGGACCGACCGAACGGUUAAAACCGUUAACGAAAGUAGUAAGUUAAGGUACGGUCGUUGAGUACGUUCGCCGAACGGACGACCGACGAGGGAGGAGG
RNAcentral lists this ribosomal RNA (638 nucleotides) under uncultured bacterium. RNAcentral's name for it is "bacterial SSU rRNA". The stretch from base 1 to 525 matches the Rfam family "Bacterial small subunit ribosomal RNA", at positions 338 to 873 of the family's 1533-position model. The record is from RNAcentral.